UCCGUAGGGUGCAAGCGUUGUCCGGAAUUAUUGGGCGUAAAGAGCUCGUAGGCGGUUUGUCGCGUCUGCUGUGAAAACUCGGGGCUUAACUCCGGGCCUGCAGUGGGUACGGGCAGACUAGAGUGCGGUAGGGGAGACUGGAAUUCCUGGUGUAGCGGUGAAAUGCGCAGAUAUCGAGAGGAACACCUGCGGCGAAGGCGGGUUGCUGGGCUGACACUGACGCUGAUGCGCGAAAGCCAGGGGAGCGAACGGG
This 253-nucleotide ribosomal RNA is filed under the name uncultured bacterium. RNAcentral describes it as "partial 16S ribosomal RNA". It matches the Rfam family "Bacterial small subunit ribosomal RNA", at positions 524 to 776 of the family's 1533-position model. The record is from RNAcentral.